This 510-nucleotide long non-coding RNA is filed under the name Nicotiana benthamiana. Its description in RNAcentral is "long non-coding RNA (NBEN_LNC011854)". Lineage: Eukaryota; Viridiplantae; Streptophyta; Magnoliopsida; Solanales; Solanaceae. The record is from RNAcentral.
CCAUGAUUGGGUGUUGAAACUUCUCUUCAAAAACCACACAAGGUCGGGAUAUAGGGAAGGAAAUAUGAUAUUUUUGAAGAAAUCCCGACCUCGGUUCUGUUUUAAUUUGCUGGACAGACCUUCUUCGGGUUUGCAAAGGAUUUGUCAUGUUCGCGAAGCUUGUGACCAGAAAGGCCUACGCGUUUGCGAUGAGCUACUCGUGUUUGCAAUGGUCUGUCCCCCUCUGACCAUCGUGUUCGCGGGCCUGGGACCGCGUUCACAAAGAACAACUCAAUGACUCUCCCAGCCACCUCCAUUACACUACGCGUUCACGUGUAGCCAGUUGUAUUCGCGAAAAUCAAUUCCCGCUAGUGCUCCACGUUCACGACCAAGGCCUCACGUUCGCGUAGAAGAAAUCCCUCCCCAACCCAGCAUGUACUUCGCGUUCGCGUGAGCUGCAUCGCAAACGCAAAGAACAAAAUCUCAAAACAAUAGAAGUAGCAAAAACAAUAGAAGUUCUUAAGUCCAAAC